RNAcentral lists this transfer RNA (72 nucleotides) under Camelus bactrianus (Bactrian camel). It matches the Rfam family "tRNA". From Rfam's summary of the family: Transfer RNA (tRNA) molecules are approximately 80 nucleotides in length. Their secondary structure includes four short double-helical elements and three loops (D, anti-codon, and T loops). Further hydrogen bonds mediate the characteristic L-shaped molecular structure. tRNAs have two regions of fundamental functional importance: the anti-codon, which is responsible for specific mRNA codon recognition, and the 3' end, to which the tRNAs corresponding amino acid is attached (by aminoacyl-tRNA synthetases). tRNAs cope with the degeneracy of the genetic code in two manners: having more than one tRNA (with a specific anti-codon) for a particular amino acid; and 'wobble' base-pairing, i.e. permitting non-standard base-pairing at the 3rd anti-codon position. RNAcentral also lists the same sequence under 2 other names. Lineage: Eukaryota; Metazoa; Chordata; Mammalia; Artiodactyla; Camelidae. The record is from Rfam by way of RNAcentral.
GGGGCUAUAGCCCAGGGGUAGAGCAUGUGCUUGGUGUGCAUGAGGUCUGGGGUUCGAUCCCCAGUGCCUCUG